ACUCCUACGGGACGCAGCAGUGGGGAAUAUUGCACAAUGGGGGAAACCCUGAUGCAGCGACGCCGCGUGAGUGGAGAAGUAUUUCGGAAUGUAAAGCUCUAUCAGCAGGGAAGAAAAAAGACGGUACCUGACUAAGAAGCCCCGGCUAACUACGUACCAGCAGCCGCGGUAAUACGUAGGGGGCAAGCGUUAUCCGGAUUUACUGGGUGUAAAGGGAGCGUAGACGGAGAAGCAAGUCUGAUGUGAAAGCCCGUGGCUUAACCAUGGGACUGCUUUGGAAACUGUUUGACUUGAGUGCUGGAGAG
Molecule: ribosomal RNA, 305 nt
Filed under: uncultured bacterium
Lineage: Bacteria
Description: bacterial SSU rRNA
Rfam family: Bacterial small subunit ribosomal RNA
Source: RNAcentral